Molecule: ribosomal RNA, 756 nt
Filed under: uncultured bacterium
Lineage: Bacteria
Description: bacterial SSU rRNA
Rfam family: Bacterial small subunit ribosomal RNA
Source: RNAcentral
AGAGUUUGAUCCUGGCUCAGAAUCAACGCUGGCGGCGUGCCUAACACAUGCAAGUCGCACGAGAAAGGGGCUUCGGCUCUGAGUAAAGUGGCGCACGGGUGAGUAACACGUGAAUGAUCUACCUCCGAGUGGGGAAUAACUGAGAGAAAUCUUAGCUAAUACCGCAUAAUACCCACGGGUCAAAGCCGCAAGGCGCUUGGAGAGGAGUUCGCGGCCGAUUAGUUAGUUGGCGGGGUAAUGGCCCACCAAGACGAUGAUCGGUAUCCGGCCUGAGAGGGCGCACGGACACACUGGAACUGAAACACGGUCCAGACUCCUACGGGAGGCAGCAGUGGGGAAUUUUGCGCAAUGGGGGAAACCCUGACGCAGCAACGCCGCGUGGAGGAUGAAGUAUCUUGGUACGUAAACUCCUUUCGAUGGGGAAGAUAAUGACGGUACCCAUAGAAGAAGCCCCGGCUAACUUCGUGCCAGCAGCCGCGGUAAUACGAGGGGGGCAAGCGUUGUUCGGAAUUAUUGGGCGUAAAGGGUGCGUAGGCGGUUUGAUAAGUCUGAUGUGAAAUCUCUGGGCUCAACCCAGAGUCUGCAUUAGAAACUGUCGGGCUUGAGUAUGGGAGAGGUGAGUGGAAUUUCCGGUGUAGCGGUGAAAUGCGUAGAUAUCGGAAGGAACACCUGUGGCGAAAGCGGCUCACUGGACCAUAACUGACGCUGAGGCACGAAAGCUAGGGGAGCAAACAGGAUUAGAUACCCUAGUAGUCC